AACUUGACUACAUCUGGAAUUAACUAAAACCC
RNAcentral lists this non-coding RNA (32 nucleotides) under Mus musculus (house mouse). The record is from RNAcentral. Lineage: Eukaryota; Metazoa; Chordata; Mammalia; Rodentia; Muridae.